Molecule: ribosomal RNA, 1372 nt
Filed under: uncultured bacterium
Lineage: Bacteria
Description: bacterial SSU rRNA
Rfam family: Bacterial small subunit ribosomal RNA
Source: RNAcentral
GAUGAACGCUGGCGGCGUGCCUAAUACAUGCAAGUCGAGCGAACGGACGAGAAGCUUGCUUCUCUGAUGUUAGCGGCGGACGGGUGAGUAACACGUGGAUAACCUACCUAUAAGACUGGGAUAACUUCGGGAAACCGGAGCUAAUACCGGAUAAUAUUUUGAACCGCAUGGUUCAAAAGUGAAAGACGGUCUUGCUGUCACUUAUAGAUGGAUCCGCGCUGCAUUAGCUAGUUGGUAAGGUAACGGCUUACCAAGGCAACGAUGCAUAGCCGACCUGAGAGGGUGAUCGGCCACACUGGAACUGAGACACGGUCCAGACUCCUACGGGAGGCAGCAGUAGGGAAUCUUCCGCAAUGGGCGAAAGCCUGACGGAGCAACGCCGCGUGAGUGAUGAAGGUCUUCGGAUCGUAAAACUCUGUUAUUAGGGAAGAACAUAUGUGUAAGUAACUGUGCACAUCUUGACGGUACCUAAUCAGAAAGCCACGGCUAACUACGUGCCAGCAGCCGCGGUAAUACGUAGGUGGCAAGCGUUAUCCGGAAUUAUUGGGCGUAGAGCGCGCGUAGGCGGUUUUUUAAGUCUGAUGUGAAAGCCCACGGCUCAACCGUGGAGGGUCAUUGGAAACUGGAAAACUUGAGUGCAGAAGAGGAAAGUGGAAUUCCAUGUGUAGCGGUGAAAUGCGCAGAGAUAUGGAGGAACACCAGUGGCGAAGGCGACUUUCUGGUCUGUAACUGACGCUGAUGUGCGAAAGCGUGGGGAUCAAACAGGAUUAGAUACCCUGGUAGUCCACGCCGUAAACGAUGAGUGCUAAGUGUUAGGGGGUUUCCGCCCCUUAGUGCUGCAGCUAACGCAUUAAGCACUCCGCCUGGGGAGUACGACCGCAAGGUUGAAACUCAAAGGAAUUGACGGGGACCCGCACAAGCGGUGGAGCAUGUGGUUUAAUUCGAAGCAACGCGAAGAACCUUACCAAAUCUUGACAUCCUUUGACAACUCUAGAGAUAGAGCCUUCCCCUUCGGGGGACAAAGUGACAGGUGGUGCAUGGUUGUCGUCAGCUCGUGUCGUGAGAUGUUGGGUUAAGUCCCGCAACGAGCGCAACCCUUAAGCUUAGUUGCCAUCAUUAAGUUGGGCACUCUAAGUUGACUGCCGGUGACAAACCGGAGGAAGGUGGGGAUGACGUCAAAUCAUCAUGCCCCUUAUGAUUUGGGCUACACACGUGCUACAAUGGACAAUACAAAGGGCAGCGAAACCGCGAGGUCAAGCAAAUCCCAUAAAGUUGUUCUCAGUUCGGAUUGUAGUCUGCAACUCGACUACAUGAAGCUGGAAUCGCUAGUAAUCGUAGAUCAGCAUGCUACGGUGAAUACGUUCCCGGGUCU